Long non-coding RNA from Chinchilla lanigera (long-tailed chinchilla), 412 nucleotides. RefSeq lists it as uncharacterized. The transcript is spliced from 4 exons. The record is from RefSeq and is a predicted model, not a curated record. NCBI's taxonomy places the organism in Eukaryota, Metazoa, Chordata, Mammalia, Rodentia, Chinchillidae.
AGAAGGUCUCUUUCCUUCCUGAAGCAAGGAAAAGGCAUGGGGCCUCAGGCCCCUUUGCCGGGAGUGCAGAAGAGGCAGGCCUAAAGCUGGGAAGUAUAUUUCAGAGUCCUGAAGGAUGGUAUUGCUCUCAUCAAACAUAGGAACAAAACUGAAGGCCCCUGUGGAUUGCAGAAGUAUGGACAAGUGUGAAGCUUUAGUGUGUCUGGAAGCAGCUGGCCUCUUGUGGUGGAAGAAAAAGCACAUGUGAAGUUUAAUGGAGCACAGAAAAUGGAGGAAGAGAUAAGCACAUACAGCUUGCUGAAAUUGCCAUGUCUGCUCAGUACUACUGAAGAUCCAGGAGGGAAUGCAAACUGUGAUGCUUUUUUUGGAAAGCAAUCUGGAAAAGUGUACACAAUACUGAAUUAAAAUAGUU